GACGAACGCUGGCGGCGUGCCUAAUACAUGCAAGUCGAGCGAAGUUUUUCUGGUGCUUGCACCGGAAAAACUUAGCGGCGAACGGGUGAGUAACACGUAAAGAACCUGCCUUAUAGACUGGGACAACUAUUGGAAACGAUAGCUAAUACCGGAUAACAGCAUUAACUGCAUGGUUGAUGUUUGAAAGUUGGUUUUGCUAACACUAUGAGAUGGCUUUGCGGUGCAUUAGCUAGUUGGUGGGGUAAAGGUCUACCAAGGCGACGAUGCAUAGCCGACCUGAGAGGGUGAUCGGCCACACUGGGACUGAGACACGGCCCAGACUCCUACGGGAGGCAGCAGUAGGGAAUCUUCCGCAAUGGGCGAAAGCCUGACGGAGCAACGCCGCGUGAGUGAAGAAGGAUUUCGGUUCGUAAAGCUCUGUUGUUAGGGAAGAAUGAUUGUGUAGUAACUAUACACAGUAGAGACGGUACCUAACCAGAAAGCCACGGCUAACUACGUG
RNAcentral lists this ribosomal RNA (499 nucleotides) under uncultured bacterium. RNAcentral describes it as "partial 16S ribosomal RNA". It matches the Rfam family "Bacterial small subunit ribosomal RNA", at positions 28 to 507 of the family's 1533-position model. The record is from RNAcentral.